Punica granatum (pomegranate) is the source of this 371-nucleotide non-coding RNA. Lineage: Eukaryota; Viridiplantae; Streptophyta; Magnoliopsida; Myrtales; Lythraceae. The record is from RefSeq and is a predicted model, not a curated record.
AAGUUGUAUAGCUUUAAUGAAGGGGUUGGCUUAAGUUCGCGCAAAGAUCGGAAAGCAACAGUCUGCUUAAUAUUAUUUCAGGUGGACGUUUCCAUCUUGCAUCCAACCUAAGGGAAAUGUUUGGAAAUGGCUUGCCUAGAAGAAUGGGAAGAUCUUACAACCGAAAGGAGUUUUUAUGUUGUUUUAUAUAACUUAGAUAGUUAUUCUAAAUGAGUAUAUAUUUAUAAAUAUAUAUCCAUUUAUUUGAAUUGAGUGUCUUGCCUAUGUAAAAUUUACUGUUCUUCGAUCGAUAUAAGAUGACUAAUCGUAAUUGGAAUAUUUGGGUGACUUUUAAUUCCUAAAGAGAGAUAUUGAUUAUUAAGGAUUUUAUA